Molecule: long non-coding RNA, 249 nt
Organism: Phyllostomus discolor (pale spear-nosed bat)
Lineage: Eukaryota; Metazoa; Chordata; Mammalia; Chiroptera; Phyllostomidae
Exons: 2
Source: RefSeq, a predicted model, not a curated record
AAUUCAAGAUUAAACACCUCCAUAAAAAAUACUCUUCCAGUUCCCCACCAGCAAUGACAGCCUAGGCAUUUGAGUGAUACAGAGGAAGCUGGAUCCCCUCAAGAUUUUGAAGACAUGCCCUGAGGAGAGCAAGGAAAGUUUCAGAGCCUGGAACAAGAAAGAGCUAAAGAAAAGUCGUGGAAGCAAUAAAGACAAAACGUGAGGGAGGAAAGCAAGAAGAGGAGAAAUAGUAUACUCACAGGUGGCAUU